GGGGGCAAUCAUACCAGUAAUAAUGCACUGGAUCCCAUGAGAACUUCGAAAUUAAAUUUGCUUGGGCGAGAGUAGUACUAAGAUCGGUGACCUUCUGGGAAAGCUUUUUGUGGCACCCUU
Molecule: ribosomal RNA, 120 nt
Filed under: Rosa chinensis
Lineage: Eukaryota; Viridiplantae; Streptophyta; Magnoliopsida; Rosales; Rosaceae
Source: RNAcentral